Molecule: ribosomal RNA, 253 nt
Filed under: uncultured bacterium
Lineage: Bacteria
Description: partial 16S ribosomal RNA
Rfam family: Bacterial small subunit ribosomal RNA
Source: RNAcentral
UACGAAGGGGACUAGCGUUGUUCGGAAUUACUGGGCGUAAAGCGUGCGCAGGCGGCCUUCCAAGUCAGGGGUGAAAGCCCAGAGCUCAACUCUGGAAUUGCCUUUGAGACUGUGAGGCUUGAGUACGGGAGAGGUGAGUGGAAUUCCCAGUGUAGAGGUGAAAUUCGUAGAUAUUGGGAAGAACACCGGUGGCGAAGGCGGCUCACUGGCCCGUAACUGACGCUCAUGCACGACAGCGUGGGGAUCAAACAGG